RNAcentral lists this transfer RNA (85 nucleotides) under Felis catus (domestic cat). It matches the Rfam family "tRNA". From Rfam's summary of the family: Transfer RNA (tRNA) molecules are approximately 80 nucleotides in length. Their secondary structure includes four short double-helical elements and three loops (D, anti-codon, and T loops). RNAcentral also lists the same sequence under 3 other names. The record is from Rfam by way of RNAcentral. Lineage: Eukaryota; Metazoa; Chordata; Mammalia; Carnivora; Felidae.
GCCUGGGUGGCUCAGUCGGUUGAGCAUCUGACUUCAGCUCAGGUCACGACCUCACAGUUUGUGGGUUCGAGCCCUGCAUCAGGCU